RNAcentral lists this ribosomal RNA (853 nucleotides) under uncultured marine bacterium. RNAcentral describes it as "bacterial SSU rRNA". It matches the Rfam family "Bacterial small subunit ribosomal RNA", at positions 37 to 865 of the family's 1533-position model. The record is from RNAcentral.
UUUUGGAGCGCGGCUUACCUGCAGUCGACGAGAAAGGGAUUGCUUGCAAUCCUGAGUAGAGUGGCGCACGGGUGAGUAACACGUAGAUAAUCUACCUUCAAGCCUGGAAUAACUGUUCGAAAGAACAGCUAAUACCGGAUAAAGUUAAUUUGCGUAAGCAGGUUAAUGAAAGAUUGCCUAUCCUUGGAAGCAAUUGUUUGGAGAUGAGUCUGCGGACCAUUAGUUUGUUGGUGGGGUAACGGCCUACCAAGACCGCGAUGGUUAGCUGGUCUGAGAGGAUGAUCAGCCACACUGGAACUGGAACACGGUCCAGACUCCUACGGGAGGCAGCAGUGAGGAAUUUUGCGCAAUGGGGGUAACCCUGACGCAGCAACGCCGCGUGAGUGAAGAAGGCCUUUGGGUCGUAAAGCUCUGUCGACAGGGAAGAAAUUAGAGUUUUCUAACAGGAGAUUCUAUUGACGGUACCUGUAGAGGAAGCACCGGCUAACUCCGUGCCAGCAGCCGCGGUAACACGGGGGGUGCAAGCGUUAUUCGGAAUUAUUGGGCGUAAAGGGCGCGCAGGCGGUCUUGUCGGUCAGAUGUGAAAGCCCGGGGCUCAACCCUGGAAGUGCAUUUGAAACAGCAAGACUUGAGUACGGGAGAGGAGAGCGGAAUUCCUGGUGUAGAGGUGAAAUUCGUAGAUAUCAGGAGGAACACCGAUGGCGAAGGCAGCUCUCUGGACCGAUACUGACGCUGAGGCGCGAAGGCGUGGGUAGCGAACAGGAUUAGAUACCCUGGUAGUCCACGCAGUAAACGUUGUUCACUCGGUGUGCCGGAUAUUAAAAUCUGGUGUGCCUAAGCUAACGCAUUAAGU